RNAcentral lists this ribosomal RNA (381 nucleotides) under uncultured eukaryote. RNAcentral's name for it is "partial 18S ribosomal RNA". It matches the Rfam family "Eukaryotic small subunit ribosomal RNA", at positions 592 to 975 of the family's 1831-position model. The record is from RNAcentral.
CAAUAGCGUAUAUUAAAGUUGUUGCAGUUAAAAAGCUCGUAGUUGGAUUUCUGGUUGAAGCGACCGGUCGGGCGUUGAUUCGUCUGCACUGGAGUCGGUUUUGGCCAUCCUCUAGGAAAGUGCGUCUGGUAUUAAGUCAUCGGGCGUAUGAUCCUGGUCUUUUACUGUGAAAAAAUUAGAGUGUUUAAAGCAGGCCUUCGCCUUGAAUACAUUAGCAUGGAAUAAUAAGAUAGGACUUUGGUCUAUUUUGUUGGUUUGCAGACCGAAGUAAUGAUUAAUAGGGAUAGUUGGGGGUAUUUAUAUUCCGAUGUCAGAGGUGAAAUUCUUAGAUUUUCGGAAGAUAAACUUAUGCGAAAGCAUUUACCAAGGAUGUUUNCAUUA